AUACGAUGCAUGCCAUAAUUAGAUAUGCAAAAUUUUUGAAACAAAGACUAUAAAACUCAACACUAAUCUACCCAUAAAAGAUUAACCCAUAAAUUAAUUUUUUAACUAACCUAACUUAAGCCUUUUCUUUUAUUUAGAAAAGCAUUAUAAUUAAUUUCUAAUCUGAAAAACUUAAUUCCUAUGGAUUAAUAAGUAUUUGUGAAUAAUAAAACAUUAUUCAAAAUUUUAUACAUUUCAUAAAGAUUAAGUAUUUAAUUAAAUACCUGAAUUAAAGACACUAAAUAAAUACUCAAUUUUUAUUACCUUAUCCUAGGGUUUUAGAAUUUUUAAUGCAUAAAGGAAAAUAAAAUACACCUAAUAAAAUUGGUUUCAUUAAAUUUGGAGAAUUCUACAAACUAUAAUGAAUUGAAUAUGAAAACAAAAUUUAAAUCUAUUUUCUAAAACUAUAAAUCAAUUUCCUUCUGGAACCUUUCUCACUCACCCCCGCCCUAACUCCUCUCGCUGACACGGGGCCCGAUCAACAGACCGCCCUCUUGGCUUUGACCGCGGGUUUGUUGGCGGGUAACCGCAGUGGCUCAUCGCCGGCGAGGCCCCCGGCGAUGGGAACACCACUACUCAACUCGCACGAACCUAGCGCACCUAUUGUAACAACUCUACCUAAAUUAAGUGCUUUUAACUAUAAACCAGUGGUUAAUCCCUAAUUAAAGAGGUGAAAUGACC
RNAcentral lists this long non-coding RNA (720 nucleotides) under Setaria viridis. RNAcentral describes it as "long non-coding RNA (SVIR_LNC002833)". The record is from RNAcentral. Lineage: Eukaryota; Viridiplantae; Streptophyta; Magnoliopsida; Poales; Poaceae.